AUCAGGUAGGGACACCCGCUGAACUUAAGCAUAUCAAUAAGCGGAGGAAAAGAAAAUAACAAUGAUUCCCCUAGUAACUGCGAGUGAAGAGGGACAAGCUCAAAUUUUAAAUCUGUUAGGUAUCACCUGGCCGAGUUGUAAUUUGAAGAAGCGUUUUCUGCGUCCUUGGUCAGCCCAAGUCCUAUUGAAUGAGGCAUCAUGGAGGGUGAUAAUCCCGUCCGGUUGAUCAAUGCGUUUUACGAUACGCUCUCAAAGAGUCAAGUUGUUUGGGAUUGCAGCUUAAAAUGGGAGGUAAAUUUCUCCUAAGGCUAAAUAUUGGCGAGAGACCGAUAGCGAACAAGUACCGUGAGGGAAAGAUGCAAAGAACUUUGAAAAGGGAGUAAAAUAGUGCGUGAAAUUGUUGAAAGGGAAACGAUUGAAGUCAGUCGUACCGACGGACAAUCAGCCUUUUGAGUGCGAAUCUGUGGCUCAUGAGGAGGAAACCCUCAUGUUUUGCAUAUUUGUGCUCUUUGGGUGUAUUUGUUCGUAUGGUGGGUUAACAUCAAUUUUGGUCGUCAUAAAAUGACGGGAGGAAGGUAGCUUUGGUCUCGUAUUGAAGUGUUAUAGCCUCUGGUAGAUGUGACGACCGGGAUUGAGGAUUGCAACGGAUACCCUUUUGGGCUACUCGCCUGAUCUCUGAUCGUUACUCUGGUGCCGAAAGCUUGCUUAUGUCAUCAAAGUUGAUGGUCAAAAGGUUAGAACGGGUUAAAUUCGUUAAGGAUGUUGACGUAAUGGCUUUAAACGACCCGUCUUGAAACACGGACCAAGGAGUCUAACAUAUGUGCGAGUGUU
RNAcentral lists this ribosomal RNA (831 nucleotides) under uncultured Glomeraceae. Its description in RNAcentral is "eukaryotic LSU rRNA". It matches the Rfam family "Eukaryotic large subunit ribosomal RNA", at positions 10 to 694 of the family's 3401-position model. The record is from RNAcentral. Lineage: Eukaryota; Fungi; Glomeromycota; Glomeromycetes; Glomerales; Glomeraceae.